CUUCAACGAGCCCAGCCACAACGGCUGUUCGUCGGGCCGGUCCUGGCCGUAGGUGGCGAGGAGGGCCUGGGCCUC
RNAcentral lists this antisense RNA (75 nucleotides) under Actinobacteria bacterium OK074. RNAcentral describes it as "ASpks TB sRNA". It matches the Rfam family "ASpks TB sRNA". Lineage: Bacteria; Bacillati; Actinomycetota; Actinomycetes. The record is from Rfam by way of RNAcentral.